Molecule: long non-coding RNA, 1151 nt
Filed under: Pan troglodytes (chimpanzee)
Lineage: Eukaryota; Metazoa; Chordata; Mammalia; Primates; Hominidae
Description: long non-coding RNA NONPTRT012415
Source: RNAcentral
AGGCGAGGCGCUGCGUUGCCCUUCAGGAGACAGUUGGCUAGAAGAAGAAAAGAAGUGUUCGUUCAAAUUAAGGAGAGAAAACGGGAGCAGAGCAGCUUUCAGGCUUUCCGUCAAAUUCCCUUUUCUCCUUCCCUCUUGAGAAAGUCUCUGAAGGGAAUGGUUCAGCCUGACGGGGUGGAGCAGUGACGCCCGGGCUACGCGCCAGGGUUGCCUGGCAGCCAGGAGUUCGAGGACCGGCGGCGGGGCGGGGCCUGUCUCCGGGCACCCGGGACGCCCGUAGCCUGGCGGAGAGCGCCAGAGAGGGCCCCUGAAAAACCGGACCAGGGAAGAGGGUACCUCGGGGCGGAUGAGGGGACAGCUGCUAAGGGCCGAGGCUGCUGGGAAGCCUCAGUAGCGGCCGUGAAUACAGUGGAGCUCUGGCGCUGCUUAUUUCGGCCUAACUCUUAGUUUCCUCAUCUGAACAACCCCAGGCUCCCAUGAUGGCUAUGUGAUCCACCGGACUAAUGAGACAGAAGACAGUGUCCUUUGGAAGACAUUUGUAAAAGAACCCUCCCCCCACCAUUUAAAAAAAAGGAAAAGAAAAAAGGAGAGUUACAGGAGAGUCCUCCUCCUCCCUUCCUUUGCUGUCAUUAUUGGGAGUACAGAGGAAGGAUCCAAGGAGCAAGACACAGAAUUCUGAGGAGGAUGUUCCAUUGGCUGCUACUGGCCAUACUUUGGAAGAUCAGAGGAGGGUUCCCACAGAGCUGGAACUCACCUCUGAGAAGAGGAUAUUGCUCAGCUGCUUCUCGUGCCUCCAAGUGAACACAAUAGUGAUGCUGAUUCGUGAAGUUAGAAAGAAUGUGGAAACUAGAAAACCACAGCUAUAACCAACUGCUGCUGCUAAGAAUGGGACUGUUUCAAGGGAAGGCUCCUUACAGCGAAGAAAAGGGUCAAAUCCAAUUAAAAUUGCAAAGGAAACUUCGUGAGGACGAAUGCCAUUAGCCCAAACUGGAAUGUGGCCAAAACACGGGGUAAUACUUCAACUCUUAGAAAAAGUGCCAGGGGGAUAUUUAACAACUGCAGGUGGCCAAAUGCUUUCUCAUAAGUCUCAUCAGAAAAGUCAUUUAUAGCAACAGUAUUCACCAAGAAUUGUAAGAGAAACAUUUUGUGAA